Anguilla anguilla (European eel) is the source of this 120-nucleotide long non-coding RNA. RefSeq lists it as uncharacterized. NCBI's taxonomy places the organism in Eukaryota, Metazoa, Chordata, Actinopteri, Anguilliformes, Anguillidae. The transcript is spliced from 4 exons. The record is from RefSeq and is a predicted model, not a curated record.
AUGACAAUAUCAGGCUGAAUCUCAUCCAUGAACGACUGACUGUAUCCCUCCUUCACCAGGUCUAUUAGCUGACACUUCUUACAGGAAUGGAAGGAAGUAACAAAAAACUUAGUGGCCGUU